Molecule: ribosomal RNA, 253 nt
Filed under: uncultured bacterium
Lineage: Bacteria
Description: partial 16S ribosomal RNA
Rfam family: Bacterial small subunit ribosomal RNA
Source: RNAcentral
UACGAAGGGGGCUAGCGUUGCUCGGAAUUACUGGGCGUAAAGCGCACGUAGGCGGUCUUUUAAGUCAGGGGUGAAAUCCCGAGGCUCAACCUCGGAACUGCCUUUGAUACUGGAGAUCUUGAGUCCGGAAGAGGUAAGUGGAACUGCGAGUGUAGAGGUGAAAUUCGUAGAUAUUCGCAAGAACACCAGUGGCGAAGGCGGCUUACUGGUCCGGAACUGACGCUGAGGUGCGAAAGCGUGGGGAGCAAACAGG